AGAUGAUUGAUGUUUGCCUGCUUUGGGGUGCUGCAAGAUGUUAAACUGUCUGAGAUCAUAUAAUAUCUCUGAUACUGAAGGAAAGGCCCUGUUUUCUUGACCCUGCACUGAGUUUCAUCAGGACAUCAGAGGCGCCUUUACUAAAUAUCCUGGAUCAUGUCAUAAGGGACACAUCACAUCAACAAUAACAAGGCGUUCCCUUAUCCUUCCCUCCUGUCUGCGUGUUCACUUGGACCACCUUGCUUGGCUUUUCAACUGGCAUUUUAUGCCCUGAUCAUUCAUCAGUGUAGACUGCUCCAUGUGUUCAUUAUGGUUCUGCAGACAGCUAUACUGUUCC
This 337-nucleotide long non-coding RNA is filed under the name Gallus gallus (chicken). The record is from RNAcentral. Lineage: Eukaryota; Metazoa; Chordata; Aves; Galliformes; Phasianidae.